GUGGGGAAUAUUGGACAAUGGGCGAAAGCCUGAUCCAGCCAUGCCGCGUGUGUGAAGAAGGUCUUCGGAUUGUAAAGCACUUUAAGUUGGGAGGAAGGGCAUUAACCUAAUACGUUAGUGUUUUGACGUUACCGAUAGAAUAAGCACCGGCUAACUUCGUGCCAGCAGCCGCGGUAAUACGAAGGGUGCAAGCGUUAAUCGGAAUUACUGGGCGUAAAGCGCGCGUAGGUGGUUCGUUAAGUUGGAUGUGAAAGCCCCGGGCUCAACCUGGGUACUGCAUCCAAAACUGGCGAGCUAGAGUACGGUAGAGGGUGGUGGAAUUUCCUGUGUAGCGGUGAAAUGCGUAGAUAUAGGAAGGAACACCAGUGGCGAAGGCGACCACCUGGACUGAUACUGACACUGAGGUGCGAAAGCGUGGGGAGCAAACAGGAUUAGAAACCCGGGUAGUCC
This 450-nucleotide ribosomal RNA is filed under the name uncultured bacterium. Its description in RNAcentral is "partial 16S ribosomal RNA". It matches the Rfam family "Bacterial small subunit ribosomal RNA", at positions 354 to 796 of the family's 1533-position model. The record is from RNAcentral.